Molecule: ribosomal RNA, 497 nt
Filed under: uncultured bacterium
Lineage: Bacteria
Description: partial 16S ribosomal RNA
Rfam family: Bacterial small subunit ribosomal RNA
Source: RNAcentral
GAUGAACGCUGGCGGCGUGCCUAAUACAUGCAAGUCGAGCGAACGGACGAGAAGCUUGCUUCUCUGAUGUUAGCGGCGGACGGGUGAGUAACACGUGGAUAACCUACCUAUAAGACUGGGAUAACUUCGGGAAACCGGAGCUAAUACCGGAUAAUAUUUUGCACCGCAUGGUUCAAAAGUGAAAGACGGUCUUGCUGUCACUUAUAGAUGGAUCUGCGCUGCAUUAGCUAGUUGGUAAGGUAACGGCUUACCAAGGCAACGAUGCAUAGCCGACCUGAGAGGGUGAUCGGCCACACUGGAACGGGGACACGGUCCAGACUCCUACGGGAGGCAGCAGUAGGGAAUCUUCCGCAAUGGGCGAAAGCCUGACGGAGCAACGCCGCGUGAGUUAUGGAGGUCUUCGGAUCGUAAAACUCUGUUAUUAGGGAAGAACAUAUGUGUAAGUAACUGUGCACAUCUUGACGGUACCUAAUCAGAAAGCCACGGCUAACUACGUG